UACGAAGGGUGCAAGCGUUAAUCGGAAUUACUGGGCGUAAAGCGCGCGUAGGUGGUUCAGUAAGUUGGAAGUGAAAUCCCCGGGCUCAACCUGGGAACUGCCUUUGUGACUGCAAGGCUAGAGUACGGCAGAGGGGGGGUGGAAUUCCGCGUGUAGCAGUGAAAUGCGUAGAUAUGCGGAGGAACACCGAUGGCGAAGGCAACCCCCUGGGCCUGUACUGACGCUCAUGCACGAAAGCGUGGGGAGCAAACAGG
Molecule: ribosomal RNA, 254 nt
Filed under: uncultured Comamonadaceae bacterium
Lineage: Bacteria; Pseudomonadati; Pseudomonadota; Betaproteobacteria; Burkholderiales; Comamonadaceae
Description: partial 16S ribosomal RNA
Rfam family: Bacterial small subunit ribosomal RNA
Source: RNAcentral